Molecule: long non-coding RNA, 195 nt
Organism: Lutra lutra (Eurasian river otter)
Lineage: Eukaryota; Metazoa; Chordata; Mammalia; Carnivora; Mustelidae
Exons: 3
Source: RefSeq, a predicted model, not a curated record
AGUUCUAGCAGUAUUGGAGUGGAGUUUUUUGGGAUUAGAGCAGAGACCAAUGAAUUAGAAACUAGAAAUACAGUACAGCAGAUCAAAGAAACUAAAAGAUGGUUUUUUGAAAGAAUUAAUUAGAUUGAUAAAACACUGGCCAGACUUAUCCAAAAGAAAAGAAACAGGACCCAAAUUAAUAAAUUAUGAAUGAAA